GGGUUGUGAGGUUAAGCGACUAAGCGUACACGGUGGAUGCCCUGGCAGUCAGAGGCGAUGAAGGACGUGCUAAUCUGCGAUAAGCGCCGGUAAGGUGAUAUGAACCGUUAUAACCGGCGAUUUCCGAAUGGGGAAACCCAGUGUGAUUCGUCACACUAUCAUUAACUGAAUCCAUAGGUUAAUGAGGCGAACCGGGGGAACUGAAACAUCUAAGUACCCCGAGGAAAAGAAAUCAACCGAGAUUCCCCCAGUAGCGGCGAGCGAACGGGGAGGAGCCCAGAGCCUGAAUCAGCAUGUGUGUUAGUGGAAGCGUCUGGAAAGGCGCGCGAUACAGGGUGACAGCCCCGUACACAAAAGCGCAUGUGCUGUGAGCUCGAUGAGUAGGGCGGGACACGUGGUAUCCUGUCUGAAUAUGGGGGGACCAUCCUCCAAGGCUAAAUACUCCUGACUGACCGAUAGUGAACCAGUACCGUGAGGGAAAGGCGAAAAGAACCCCGGCGAGGGGAGUGAAAAAGAACCUGAAACCGUGUACGUACAAGCAGUGGGAGCCCCACCACUAAGCCAGUGGUGAACUCUACAUACGCAUCCUUUGCUGAGGAUACGGUUAACGGAGCGAAAGCGACGUUCAACCUCAAAAGAAGCAGAGGGGGCUUAGUGGUGGGGUGACUGCGUACCUUUUGUAUAAUGGGUCAGCGACUUAUAUUCUGUAGCAAGGUUAACCGAAUAGGGGAGCCGGAGGGAAACCGAGUCUUAAUUGGGCGUUAAGUUGCAGGGUAUAGACCCGAAACCCGGUGAUCUAGCCAUGGGCAGGUUGAAGGUUGGGUAACACUAACUGGAGGACCGAACCGACUAAUGUUGAAAAAUUAGCGGAUGACCUGUGGCUGGGGGUGAAAGGCCAAUCAAACCGGGAGAUAGCUGGUUCUCCCCGAAAGCUAUUUAGGUAGCGCCUCGUGAAUUCAUCUCCGGGGGUAGAGCACUGUUUCGGCUAGGGGGCCAUCCCGGCUUACCAACCCGAUGCAAACUGCGAAUACCGGAGAAUGUUAUCACGGGAGACACACGGCGGGUGCUAACGUCCGUCGUGAAGAGGGAAACAACCCAGACCGCCAGCUAAGGUCCCAAAGUCAUGGUUAAGUGGGAAACGAUGUGGGAAGGCCCAGACAGCCAGGAUGUUGGCUUAGAAGCAGCCAUCAUUUAAAGAAAGCGUAAUAGCUCACUGGUCGAGUCGGCCUGCGCGGAAGAUGUAACGGGGCUAAACCAUGCACCGAAGCUGCGGCAGCGACGCUGAUGCGUUGUUGGGUAGGGGAGCGUUCUGUAAGCCUGCGAAGGUGGCCUGUGAGGGUUGCUGGAGGUAUCAGAAGUGCGAAUGCUGACAUAAGUAACGAUAAAGCGGGUGAAAAGCCCGCUCGCCGGAAGACCAAGGGUUCCUGUCCAACGUUAAUCGGGGCAGGGUGAGUCGACCCCUAAGGCGAGGCCGAAAGGCGUAGUCGAUGGGAAACGGGUUAAUAUUCCCGUACUUGGUGUUACUGCGAAGGGGGGACGGAGAAGGCUAUGUUGGCCGGGCGACGGUUGUCCCGGUUUAAGCGUGUAGGUGUGUGUUCCAGGUAAAUCCGGUUCACUUUAACACUGAGGCGUGACGACGAGGCACUACGGUGCUGAAGCAACAAAUGCCCUGCUUCCAGGAAAAGCCUCUAAGCAUCAGGUAACAUCAAAUCGUACCCCAAACCGACACAGGUGGUCAGGUAGAGAAUACCAAGGCGCUUGAGAGAACUCGGGUGAAGGAACUAGGCAAAAUGGUGCCGUAACUUCGGGAGAAGGCACGCUGACACGUAGGUGAAGUGAUUUACUCAUGGAGCUGAAGUCAGUCGAAGAUACCAGCUGGCUGCAACUGUUUAUUAAAAACACAGCACUGUGCAAACACGAAAGUGGACGUAUACGGUGUGACGCCUGCCCGGUGCCGGAAGGUUAAUUGAUGGGGUCAGCGCAAGCGAAGCUCCUGAUCGAAGCCCCGGUAAACGGCGGCCGUAACUAUAACGGUCCUAAGGUAGCGAAAUUCCUUGUCGGGUAAGUUCCGACCUGCACGAAUGGCGUAAUGAUGGCCAGGCUGUCUCCACCCGAGACUCAGUGAAAUUGAACUCGCUGUGAAGAUGCAGUGUACCCGCGGCAAGACGGAAAGACCCCGUGAACCUUUACUAUAGCUUGACACUGAACAUUGAGCCUUGAUGUGUAGGAUAGGUGGGAGGCUUUGAAGUGUGGACGCCAGUCUGCAUGGAGCCGACCUUGAAAUACCACCCUUUAAUGUUUGAUGUUCUAACGUGGACCCGUUACCCGGGUUGCGGACAGUGUCUGGUGGGUAGUUUGACUGGGGCGGUCUCCUCCUAAAGAGUAACGGAGGAGCACGAAGGUUGGCUAAUCCUGGUCGGACAUCAGGAGGUUAGUGCAAUGGCAUAAGCCAGCUUGACUGCGAGCGUGACGGCGCGAGCAGGUGCGAAAGCAGGUCAUAGUGAUCCGGUGGUUCUGAAUGGAAGGGCCAUCGCUCAACGGAUAAAAGGUACUCCGGGGAUAACAGGCUGAUACCGCCCAAGAGUUCAUAUCGACGGCGGUGUUUGGCACCUCGAUGUCGGCUCAUCACAUCCUGGGGCUGAAGUAGGUCCCAAGGGUAUGGCUGUUCGCCAUUUAAAGUGGUACGCGAGCUGGGUUUAGAACGUCGUGAGACAGUUCGGUCCCUAUCUGCCGUGGGCGCUGGAGAACUGAGGGGGGCUGCUCCUAGUACGAGAGGACCGAAGUGGACGCAUCACUGGUGUUCGGGUUGUCAUGCCAAUGGCACUGCCCGGUAGCUAAAUGCGGAAGAGAUAAGUGCUGAAAGCAUCUAAGCACGAAACUUGCCCCGAGAUGAGUUCUCCCUGAGACUUAGAGUCUCCUGAAGGAACGUUGAAGACGACGACGUUGAUAGGCCGGGUGUGUAAGCGCAGCGAUGCGUUGAGCUAACCGGUACUAAUGAACCGUGAGGCUUAACCUUACAACGCCGAAG
RNAcentral lists this ribosomal RNA (3028 nucleotides) under Salmonella enterica subsp. enterica serovar Senftenberg. RNAcentral's name for it is "23S ribosomal RNA". It matches the Rfam family "Bacterial large subunit ribosomal RNA". Lineage: Bacteria; Pseudomonadati; Pseudomonadota; Gammaproteobacteria; Enterobacterales; Enterobacteriaceae. The record is from RNAcentral.